Molecule: ribosomal RNA, 484 nt
Filed under: uncultured bacterium
Lineage: Bacteria
Description: partial 16S ribosomal RNA
Rfam family: Bacterial small subunit ribosomal RNA
Source: RNAcentral
AUUGAACGCUGGCGGCAGGCCUAACACAUGCAAGUCGAGCGGAUGAAGGGAGCUUGCUCCUGGAUUCAGCGGCGGACGGGUGAGUAAUGCCUAGGAAUCUGCCUGGUAGUGGGGGAUAACGCCCGGAAACGGGCGCUAAUACCGCAUACGUCCUGAGGGAGAAAGUGGGGGAUCUUCGGACCUCACGCUAUCUGAUGAGCCUAGGUCGGAUUAGCUAGUUGGUGGGGUAAAGGCCUACCAAGGCGACGAUCCGUAACUGGUCUGAGAGGAUGAUCAGUCACACUGGAACUGAGACACGGUCCAGACUCCUACGGGAGGCAGCAGUGGGGAAUAUUGGACAAUGGGCGAAAGCCUGAUCCAGCCAUGCCGCGUGUGUGAAGAAGGUCUUCGGAUUGUAAAGCACUUUAAGUUGGGAGGAAGGGCAGUAAGUUAAUACCUUGCUGUUUUGACGUUACCAACAGAAUAAGCACCGGCUAACUUCGUG